UGCAACCGUUGUAGGACCUGAUGCAGUC
Molecule: small RNA, 28 nt
Filed under: Bombyx mori (domestic silkworm)
Lineage: Eukaryota; Metazoa; Arthropoda; Insecta; Lepidoptera; Bombycidae
Description: ovarian small RNA-8461
Source: RNAcentral